CAAUAGCGUAUAUUAAAGUUGUUGCAGUUAAAAAGCUCGUAGUUGGAUUUCGGGGCAGCCUGGCUGGUCCGCCGCAAGGCGAGUACUGGUCAGCCGCCCUUCCUCUCGAACGCCCCGACUGCUCUUCGUUGCAGUGGUCGGGUAGUUCGGGACGUUUACUUUGAAAAAAUUAGAGUGUUCAAGGCAGGCCUACGCCUGAAUACAUUAGCAUGGAAUAAUGGAAGAGGACCUCGGUCCUAUUUUGUUGGUUUCCAGGGCCGAAGUAAUGAUUAAGAGGGACAGUUGGGGGCAUUCGUAUUUAAUUGUCAGAGGUGAAAUUCUCGGAUUUAUGAAAGACGAACAACUGCGAAAGCAUUUGCCAAGGAUGUUUUCAUUAA
This 377-nucleotide ribosomal RNA is filed under the name uncultured eukaryote. RNAcentral describes it as "partial 18S ribosomal RNA". It matches the Rfam family "Eukaryotic small subunit ribosomal RNA", at positions 592 to 976 of the family's 1831-position model. The record is from RNAcentral.